This 252-nucleotide ribosomal RNA is filed under the name uncultured bacterium. RNAcentral's name for it is "partial 16S ribosomal RNA". It matches the Rfam family "Bacterial small subunit ribosomal RNA", at positions 524 to 776 of the family's 1533-position model. The record is from RNAcentral.
UACGGGGGGGGCAAGCGUUGUUCGGAAUUACUGGGCGUAAAGGGCGCGUAGGCGGCCAUCUAAGUCAGACGUGAAAUCCUCGGCUCAACCGAGGAACUGCGUCUGAUACUGGAAGGCUUGAAUCCGGGAGAGGGAUGUGGAAUUCCAGGUGUAGCGGUGAAAUGCGUAGAUAUCAGGAGGAACACCGGUGGCGAAGGCGGGUCUCUGGGCAACAACUGACGCUGAGGAGCGAAAGCGUGGGGAGCGAACAGG